RNAcentral lists this long non-coding RNA (665 nucleotides) under Mytilus galloprovincialis (Mediterranean mussel). Lineage: Eukaryota; Metazoa; Mollusca; Bivalvia; Mytilida; Mytilidae. The record is from RNAcentral.
UGUGAUAAGAGUAUUAAAAUAUAUAUUUAUACUGAUUAUGAUGCCUAAUGCUAAUGGGGUAAAUCAAGGAUUUUAAUGAAAAUGAUAGAAAUGUUUAAUAAGUUACCAAAAUGUAGUUUGUAUCAUGCUUUCUGAUGCGCUAUUUAUAUAUGGGCAUUAUGUUUAUUGGUGUGCAGUCCGUUCAUUCAUCCAUCUGUUCCACUGUCUGUCCCGCUUCAGGUUAAAGUUUUUGGUCGAGGUAGUCUGGUCGAGGUGGUUUUUUAUGAAUUUUCAAUCCAAUCAACUUGAAACUAAGUACACAUUUCCCUUUGAUAUUAUCUUUCUUAUUUUAAGACCAAAUUAGAGUUUUGAACCCAAUUUUACAGUCCACUGAACAUAGAAAAUGAUAGUGCAUGUGGAGUAUCAAUUUACUAUGACCACAUUUUUGUUUUAAGUUAAUAUACAAAAAAAAGUAAGGGUCACAUAUAUUUUCACGCUACAGGCUGUAUAGUUUAUACAUCAUAUACAUGGACGACCCUAUUUUGUGUGGUAGAAAGGAAACUAAACAAUUGAAUUUUAAGAUAAAUAUGAGAAUUUUUUUUUAUAAUGUGUAUAAUGCUUUCACAAAAAAUAAUAAAAAUAAACAUUGGGGUUACAUGAUUUGUAUUCUUGCUUCAAAACAAGAG